CAGAGGGUGCGAGCGUUGUUCGGAAUUACUGGGCGUAAAGCGCGCGCAGGCGGCUCUCUAAGUCUACGGUGAAAGACCGGGGCUCAACCCCGUGUCAGCCCGGGAUACUGGGGAGCUAGGGACAUGUAGGGGCGAGCGGAAUUCCGGGUGUAGCGGUGGAAUGCGUAGAGAUCCGGAAGAACACCGGGGGCGAAGGCGGCUCGCUGGGCAUGGUCCGACGCUGAGGCGCGAAAGCGUGGGGAGCGAACAGGAUUAGAUACCCUGGUAGUCCACGCCGUAAACGAUGGGCACUAGAGGCGGGGGGGAUCGGCCCUCUCCGUCUCGCAGCUAACGCGUUAAGUGCCCCGCCUGGGGAGUACGGCCGCAAGGCUG
This 372-nucleotide ribosomal RNA is filed under the name uncultured organism. RNAcentral's name for it is "bacterial SSU rRNA". It matches the Rfam family "Bacterial small subunit ribosomal RNA", at positions 526 to 896 of the family's 1533-position model. The record is from RNAcentral.